Long non-coding RNA from Cyprinus carpio carpio, 902 nucleotides. The record is from Ensembl. Lineage: Eukaryota; Metazoa; Chordata; Actinopteri; Cypriniformes; Cyprinidae.
CUCAUCAGUUGAGCAAUCUUUCUCAGCUCUCAAGCACAUAAAAACUUAUUAAUGGAAUACAACCGGACAAACAUGGUUCUCUGCACUGGCUUCUAUUGCCAUAGAGAAGGAGCUGCUCAUUCAUCUUAAGCAGGACGCACAACUGCAUGAGGAGGUCAUUGAAUGUUUCGUCAGAAAGGAACGGAGGAUGGAUUUCAUUUACAAGUAAUGAGCUGCUUCGGCGCUCCAUUCCAUGGCAGUCUUACAGUUCUUCCAGGCCAAACUCCUCCAUUGUAUGGACGAAUCCAGCCGAGACCCUGUGGCUUUCAAAGAGCUGCACAGCACGACCGGCCUGGCCCUUCACGCCACCAAGAUGACAGCUCAGGCGAUCGGCAAAUCCAUGGUCAGCUGGAGCACCACUUAUGGCUAAACCUCAUGGAGAUCAAGGAUAAGGUCCCCUUCCUCAACUCCCCAGUUUCCCUUCCUCGACUCUCCAGUUGAGAGCUUCGCUGAACGCUUUACCGCUGCACAGAAGUCGUCCCAAGCAAUGCAACACUUCCUGCCAACGCGCUACAGCUUAACAGCUGCUUCUAAUCCCUUCUAAUUGGACCCUGCGCCCCAGGCUGAUCUGCAGGACAGGAAGAGGAGGGGAACAAGUCUCGCUGCAGCCAGACCACCCCCAAAAUGCUUCUGUUAUGCCUCCAAGCACCCCGUUCAUUUACGGGUGCCAAUGGCAGUGUGUUUGUGACCAAAAAUACUGUUGUGAACAUGGGGCCCGUUUUGAUCGCGUCCACACAACCAACCGCUGUUAUAGCGGGAAAAAUAAAAACACAAACAUUUUCAAAAAGAGAGCAAAUUUCCUCUUCCACUCACUGCAAGCGUCAGGUCCCCUCUAGGCGGCCCACCACUCGAACCAAUCCAGC